This is an RNA transcript of Durio zibethinus, 4415 nucleotides long. It is a transcript of the gene named kinesin-like protein KIN-4A, with no coding region annotated. NCBI's taxonomy places the organism in Eukaryota, Viridiplantae, Streptophyta, Magnoliopsida, Malvales, Malvaceae. The record is from RefSeq and is a predicted model, not a curated record.
UUAGGAAAUCUUCAACAUCAUAAUACGUGGUUUUAGCAGCACUUGCCUAUCAUCUUUUCUUUUCUUUUUGUUUGGGUUCUUUUGGGAGUUAAAUUAAGAUUAAAAAAAAAAAAGUGGAGCUGAAAAGGGUAGAACUGUAAAAACAGGGACAAAACCGUGGAAGUGAGGGGUCAAAAACACAACUCCAUGGAGAAGGUGAGAAACAGAGGAAAUGAGUUGUUGGUGUAAGGAAAGGGUACAAAGGAAAGAGUGUUAUGAAAGCUUAUUUCUUUCCUUCUGUUCACAUGACGAUUUUGUAUUGAAGGCUAAGCAUUAUGAUAGUUGUUGUUGUCACUGCAGUUAACUUCCUGUAUAAUGCUAUGCCACCCCGCAGCCUCUAAUUCCUCAACUGCCCUUCCUCAUACAUUUUUUCUCUCUCUUUCUAACAUUCUGUUUCUUACACUUCCAAACAGCAAUAACAGCAGGAAACAAUAGCAACCCAUUGUCUGGAACUCAAUUUGUUUUCUUUGUUCGUUGUUGCAUCACUUUCUUUGUCCUACUGUGUUUCAGACAAUGAGAACGGUUUUUAUAAGGAAAAAAGAAAAUAAAAAUUUGGUCUUUUAACUCUCUAACAUAAACGACAACAAACUUACCAAAAAAUUCAUUAUUUCUCUUUCUCUUUUUUGGGUUUUCUCCUUUCUUUCUUUCUCUCUCUUUGUGUUGGGAAAUUGUUUUUUCUUUCUUUAGCUGCUUCCUAUGGAAGCUGUUGCAGCUUCCGAGGCUUGUUGUGUUAAUGUUGCGGUUCAUGUAAGACCGCUUAUUGGUGAUGAGAAACUUCAAGGUUGUAAAGAUUGCGUUACUGUCAUCCCAGGAAAGCCUCAGGUACAAAUUGGGACACAUUCCUUUACAUUUGAUCAUGUCUAUGGGAGCACUGGUUCUCCCUCUUCUUCCAUGUUUGAGGAAUGCAUUGUUCCCCUUGUUGAUGGCUUAUUCCAGGGAUAUAAUGCUACCGUUCUUGCUUAUGGUCAGACUGGAUCAGGUAAAACGUAUACCAUGGGCACAGGCUUAAAAGAUUGUUGCCAAACAGGAAUCAUUCCUGAAGUAAUGAAUGCUUUAUUCAGCAAGAUUGAAAGUCUAAAAUAUCAAAUUGAAUUUCAAUUGCACGUUUCCUUCAUUGAGAUUCUGAAAGAAGAAGUACAAGAUUUGCUGGAUCCUACUUCUAUAAACAAAUCUGAUACUGCAAGCAUGAAUAUGGGGAAAGUAAACGUCCCUGGAAAACCACCAAUACAGAUUCGUGAAUCAUCAAAUGGUGUUAUUACACUGGCAGGAUCUACUGAAGUUAGUGUCAGUACAUUAAAAGAAAUGGCUGCUUGCCUAGAACAGGGUUCAUUGAGUAGGGCAACAGGGAGUACAAACAUGAAUAACCAGUCAAGUCGGUCACAUGCAAUCUUCACCAUCACCUUAGAGCAAAUGCGUAAACUCCUUCCUAUUUCUGGAGAUGGAAGUCCUAAUGACAUUAUGAGUGAAGAAUAUCUUUGUGCCAAGUUACAUUUGGUAGAUCUUGCUGGAUCGGAGCGAGCAAAAAGAACAGGUUCUGAUGGUAUGCGUUUUAAAGAAGGAGUUCAUAUCAACAAGGGCCUGCUUGCACUUGGUAAUGUCAUCAGUGCACUUGGUGAUGAAAAAAAGCGCAAAGAAGGUGUUCACGUUCCAUAUCGAGAUAGUAAACUUACUCGGUUUUUGCAGGAUUCACUUGGUGGCAACAGCAGAACUGUCAUGAUAGCCUGCAUUAGUCCUGCUGACAUUAAUGCUGAGGAAACCCUUAAUACUUUAAAAUAUGCAAAUCGUGCUCGCAAUAUCCAAAACAAGCCUGUUGUUAAUCGAGAUCCUAUCUCCAAUGAGAUGCUAAAGAUGCGUCAACAAUUAGAGUAUUUGCAAGCAGAACUUUGUGCCCGUGGCGGUUCUGAUGAAGUGCAGGUUCUCAAGGAAAGAAUUGCCUGGCUUGAAGCUGCUAAUGAGGAUCUUUGCCAAGAACUUCACGACUACCGGAGCAGAUGCACUAUUGUAGAGCAACGUGAAACAAAUGCUCAAGAUGGCAGUCCUUGCUCUGUCAAAAGUGAUGGGCUGGAAAGGAACUUGCACAGUAUAGAGUCAUCUGACUAUCAAAUGGGUGAAACCAUGAUAGCAGGCGAUUCCAGAGAAAUUGAUGAGGAAGCAGCUAAAGAGUGGGAGCACACACUGAUACAAAAUACUAUGGACAAAGAGUUGCAUGAGUUGAAUAGACAUUUAGAGGAAAAAGAGUCCGAGAUGAAACUUUUUGGAGGAGACACAGUUGCACUCAAGCAGCAUUUUGGGAAGAAAAUUCAGGAAUUAGAGGACCAGAAAAGAGCUGUGCAGAAAGAGAGGGAUCGCUUAUUGGCUGAAAUUGAAAAUCUUUCUGCUGGUUCUGAUGGACAAACACAAAAAGUGCAAGGCAUCCAUGCUCAGAAACUAAAAUCCCUUGAAGCACAGAUUCUGGAUCUUAAGAAAAAACAAGAGAGCCAGGUUCAACUUUUAAAGCAGAAACAGAAGAGUGAUGAAGCAGCAAAACGACUGCAAGAUGAAAUUCAAUUCAUAAAGGCACAAAAGGUUCAGUUGCAACAUAGGAUAAAACAAGAGGCAGAACAAUUCCGGCAAUGGAAAGCCUCUCGAGAAAAGGAACUGUUGCAGUUACGGAAAGAGGGCAGGAGAAAUGAGUAUGAAAGACAUAAGCUGCAAGCUUUAAAUCAACGCCAGAAAAUGGUUCUCCAAAGAAAAACAGAAGAGGCCACCAUGGCCACUAAGAGGCUAAAAGAGUUGCUGGAAGCUCGAAAAUCUUCUGCCCGUGAUAACUCAGCUAUUGCCAACGGGAAUGGAACAAAUGGGCAGACCAAUGAGAAAGCAUUACAACGAUGGCUAGAUCAUGAGUUAGAAGUCAUGGUGAAUGUGCAUGAAGUUCGCUUUGAAUAUGUGAGGCAAAGCCAAGUGAGGGCUGCACUGGCUGAAGAUUUGGCUGUCUUAAAGCAAGUAGAUGAGCUUGCUUCAAAGGGGCUGAGCCUUCCAAGAGGAAAGAAUGGAUUUUCCAGGGCAUCCUCUAUGUCACCAAGUGCACGAGUGGCUAGAAUAUCUUCCCUUGAGAAUAUGCUCAGCAUAUCAUCUAAUUCACUUCUAUCAAUGGCUUCUCAACUUUCAGAGGCAGAAGAGAGGGAGCGAGCCUUCACUAACCGUGGACGUUGGAAUCAGUUGCGCUCCAUGGCAGAUGCAAAGAACUUGCUUCAAUAUAUGUUCAAUUCUCUUGGAGAGACAAGGUGCCAAUUAUGGGAAAAAGACAAGGAAAUCAAGGAAAUGAAAGAACAACUUAAAGAACUUGUAGGUCUGUUGCGGCAGAGCGAGCUACAAAGGAAAGAAGUUGAGAAUGAGCUAAAAUUAAGAGAGCAAGCUAUGGCCAUUGCAUUGGCUACAUCAGCUACGGGGAACUCACCAAAGUUAUUGAAACACGUUGCUGAUGACAUGAAUGGUUCAUUAUCCCCAAUGACUGUGCCAGCACAGAAACAGCUGAAAUAUAGCCCAGGUAUUGUUAAUGGUCCAGCCAGAGUGUCAGCAGCAUUCAUAGAUCAAACACGAAAGAUGGUACCGCUUGGGCAGUUACCAAUAAAAAAGUUAGUAGCUAUAGGACACGUUGGCAAUGGAAAACUGUGGAGGUGGAAAAGAAGCCAUCACCAAUGGCUCGUACAAUUCAAAUGGAAAUGGCAGAAGCCAUGGAGACUUUCAGAAUGGAUAAGACACAGUGAUGAAACAAUAAUGAGGGCAAGGCCUCGUUCACAAGCUCUUCCACAUAGAGUCUGAUAUUCGAUGGUCACCAGAUUAUGUUGGCCAUAUUAAUCAUUGAUUAUAUGUAUGUUCCUAGCCCAAGGUGCAGGGAGGAGCCUAGAAAAGAAUGCAGUUGAUGCAGUGUGCUGGAACUAGCUGUUGGAAUCUGCAUAUGCCGUGUUGGUCUAGUUGAUUUUGAAAAUAUCAAAACUAUUGAUUAGUAAUCUUCAAUUUUUUUUUCUGUGAUUACUGCAUUCGGAGCAUCUUGUAAAGAAGUGUUGAUGCUGCCAAUGGCAUGCCAAAUACGUUAAAGACAUUAGCAUGAGAUGGUGUCAUUGAUGAUGCUUUGGCAAGAGUAUAUCGAAUCUCGCAGGACCUGUCUAUGGUUUUGGUGUAUUUUCCAUCAAUAACGCACUUUUGAGGGAAGAAAUUGUUCCCAAGUUACAGAAAAUUGUAUGAAAGGUGCAAUCUAAAAGUAUUUCUCUUUUUUAGUUUUUCAUUUUUUACCCAAUUUGUAAUUUCUUGCUUCAUAUGUUUAAACGUGUGUAAGCUUGUUAUUAAUUUUGUUGAGAGAUUGAAAUGUGCAGCAUUUUCAGUUGUUACACAAGGAA